Molecule: ribosomal RNA, 425 nt
Filed under: uncultured bacterium
Lineage: Bacteria
Description: partial 16S ribosomal RNA
Rfam family: Bacterial small subunit ribosomal RNA
Source: RNAcentral
GUGGGGAAUAUUGGACAAUGGGCGCAAGCCUGAUCCAGCCAUGCCGCGUGAGUGAUGAAGGCCCUAGGGUUGUAAAGCUCUUUCACCGGUGAAGAUAAUGACGGUAACCGGAGAAGAAGCCCCGGCUAACUUCGUGCCAGCAGCCGCGGUAAUACGAAGGGGGCUAGCGUUGUUCGGAAUUACUGGGCGUAAAGCGCACGUAGGCGGACAUUUAAGUCAGGGGUGAAAUCCCGGGGCUCAACCCCGGAACUGCCGUUGAUACUGGGUGUCUGGAGUAUGGAAGAGGUAAGUGGAAUUCCGAGUGUAGAGGUGAAAUUCGUAGAUAUUCGGAGGAACACCAGUGGCGAAGGCGGCGUACUGGUCCAUUACUGACGCUGAGGUGCGAAAGCGUGGGGAGCAAACAGGAUUAGAAACCCCAGUAGUCC